Molecule: ribosomal RNA, 496 nt
Filed under: uncultured bacterium
Lineage: Bacteria
Description: partial 16S ribosomal RNA
Rfam family: Bacterial small subunit ribosomal RNA
Source: RNAcentral
GACGAACGCUGGCGGCGUGCCUAAUACAUGCAAGUUGAGCGCUGAAGGUUGGUACUUGUACCAACUGGGUGAGCAGCGCACGGGUGAGUAACGCGUGGGGAAUCUGCCUUUGAGCGGGGGACAACAUUUGGAAACGAAUGCUAAUACCGCAUAAAAACUUUAAACACAAGUUUUAAGUUUGAAAGAUGCAAUUGCAUCACUCAAAGAUGAUCCCGCGUUGUAUUAGCUAGUUGGUGAGGUAAAGGCUCACCAAGGCGAUGAUACAUAGCCGACCUGAGAGGGUGGUCGGCCACAUUAGGACUGAGACACGGCCCAAACUCCUACGGGAGGCAGCAGUAGGGAAUCUUCGGCAAUGGACGGAAGUCUGACCGAGCAGCGCCGCGUGAGUGAAGAAGGUGUUCGGAUCGUAAAACUCUGUUGGUAGAGAAGAACGUGGGUGAGAGUGGAAAGCUCAUCAAGUGACGGUAACGACCCAGAAAGGGACGGCUAACUACGU